CACCUUACAAGAAAAGCCAGAAAAGAAAACCCGUGUGUAUUGUAAGAGUUUAAAGAGACAGCCACUCCAAAAGAAAAUGGACAUUCACAUUGACGCCUGGAAAAGAACCAGGAGUCACCAUGCAAAUGUGUCAUAGCAGCGAGAAGUCCUGUGAAAGCGAAGGAGAUCAGCCAGGCUCCCGUAAGACCCCUCUCCCCAUUCAUCUAAGCUCCUCCGUGUGUCCACCGAACUAUAUCACAUCAGCACUUCCACAUCUGUCCUCAUGGCACUGAGCACUUCUCUGGAAACUGACCAGUUAUUGCAGAGCCUUGUUUCCCCAGCAUCAUCCUCCAAGAGAAGGAUCCUACAGGAACAAAGGGAUGCCUGUGGCUCUGCAACUGGAUUGGAAGGAGCCAAAAUUCUCCUGAUUUGAGUUUCUGGUUCUGCUGCAGUCAGUCACACGUCCACAAAGACCUCAAAUUUAUGUCCUCUAAAAACUCAUUGAGUAGUUGCCAUCAUCAUCACGGUCUUCAUCAUGGUGGUAGAAGUUAACGGGAGCAAGUCACUCGCAUUAUGCCAUUGAGACCUCCCCAUCGCCCUGUGAAGUAAGCACCGUGUUCACCCCAAGCUCUGGUUGGAGCAGCAGUUGGAGCAUAAUAAGAGCUCCAGGAAGGGCAGUCACGGCGGCAUUCUGUGCGCAGCACUUGCAUGGGAACAGUCCCUUGAAAGGGAAAAUAAAAAGCUCUAUGGCCUUCUAGGUGCUAAGGAGUGAUUAAUCCACACUAGUCCAUUGAGCACCUAUUCCAUGUCCUUGUGGAAAACACGGGGAUGCUGGGUUUGUAGGCGAGGCUAUACCUGGCAUGCUAUGUUGGGCAUGUAAAGGUUUGCCAAGUCAGCUGAUGGGGGUCUUGGAAGUGUGGAUGGACUACCCCUUGCCCUUGAGAAGCUAUCUUUGAUGAUGAGGGGAGGAUUUGCAGCGUGGCACAAGGUAUGAGGACGAGAAGCACAGAGCCUCUGCCCAGGACAUCUGCCUUCCACACUCAGCUGCCAGCAGCGUUUCUCCACCUUCCCUGGCCCAAGGAGCACCUGAGGGAGGUGGAUAAAGAUGCAGACAUCUGAGCCCUAUCCCCAGAUAUGUCGCUUUGGUGUGUCUGGAGUAAGCCAGGGAAUUUGCAUUUCUACCAAGUUUCCCAGGCGAUCCGGAUGCUGGGGGCCCACAGACCUUCUGCUGAAGAACAAAGACCUAGAGGAGACAGAGAUCCGAGUGGACCAG
Molecule: long non-coding RNA, 1252 nt
Filed under: Homo sapiens (human)
Lineage: Eukaryota; Metazoa; Chordata; Mammalia; Primates; Hominidae
Description: HSALNT0168778
Source: RNAcentral